GAGGUUGUGGCUCAGUGGUAGAGCGCUCGCCUAGCAUGCACUGAGGUACUGGGUUUGAUUCUCAGCACCACA
RNAcentral lists this transfer RNA (72 nucleotides) under Marmota monax (woodchuck). RNAcentral describes it as "tRNA.Ala". Lineage: Eukaryota; Metazoa; Chordata; Mammalia; Rodentia; Sciuridae. The record is from RNAcentral.